UUAAUGGAUUUAGAUGGUACGACACGUAAUUUAAGUGUAAUAUCGCAUUACACGGUGCUCUCAACACGAAGUUCAUGGCGCUAUAUGGGCGCGUCACGCUACAUUAUUUCCUCAUUAUUCCAUGACAGAUACGAGAAUUAGCGUCAACGAUUAUUAUAACAAACUAAUGCACGGACAAUGUGCAAUAGAUCGGAGAGAAUGAUCAUGUUCUGGGGAAUUACCAGGAUGAAAAGCCCCAUGUCUGCACUGGAAAUGUUCUGGAAAAUUAUCAUCACACGAUUAAUCUCACAUCCAAAAAAGAUGAGAAGCAUGCAAUUAAAAAUUACAAAUUUUCGCCAUCGAACAAUUGUUUCCAGAUUGAUAUAUUGAUAUGGUAGAAUUAAUUGGAAGUGAAUUGAACAAUAAAUUUUUCUUCAUGAGUGACUAGAAGCAACAGGUCCCGGAGGAAAUGUACGAUCCCGGGAGGGAAAAGACUAACAGUGCAAUUAAAUUAUUCAGAGUGGUGGCGCGACUGGCAAAUGCACACAGGCCAGCCACUACAUAUUUCCAACGAAUGGUACAAGUAUGGGAUGCUUUGUGAUCCCAUACAGUUUCCAACAGUGGAAUUUCGUGUCUGAAAUGGAGGGCCUGUUAAACUAGAGAUGUGGAUGUGUUUGGUGUGCACUACUUAGAGAGGUAAUACUCUCAGUACGCCAGCAACAACACUUUGCCACUGUCAUAUCACUUUCCACUGACAGCAAGUCAUAUUGUAACCGGAUGACAACAUUACCUUGUAGACAGUUGUGGAAUUUAGUCUCGAUUAAAUUUGUGGGAAAUAGGGGACAGCGAAUUGUUAUUUCAAAAUUUAUGCGACGCGUAUCGAAUUGACAGUCCGUUACCGAUUUUUCGGUUAAAAAUUUUUAUCCAUAUAAUUUUCCGAGUCCCGGCGUUUAUCCGAUUAAUGCACCUUUUUUUAUUUUGCUGACAAAACCAUAACGGAAGUGUGAAAAAAAUGCGGAUGAACUUCAUGGAGAAAGAUCCGGUCGGCAAACUGACAAAAGACAAAUAUUUACCCCGGCACUCGACCGAUCUUGGAGACCUUCGCGUAGUUCUGCAAUUGUUGGAGAGUCUCAAAAAACAUUGCCACCAUCAAGCAAUACAUAUGAAGAGAACGUUGUGAAGUUUAUUUCGCAGCAUCUUGGAUGUAUUUAUAUGUUUCGUACACCAACAACUUCUGGUACGUAACUGUUGCCCAGGGUGAAGAGUUGCCCCGCAGGCACCACCUUAUAUUUCACUCAACUUUGUUGCACGUUGAAAACCCUAGGUGCUCAAAACUUAACGCCAUAUCCAACAUCCAAUCUUUCCAUCAAACUAAUUAAUCAUUCCCGGGUAAAAAAAAAUUGUA
Fopius arisanus is the source of this 1384-nucleotide long non-coding RNA. RefSeq lists it as uncharacterized. Lineage: Eukaryota; Metazoa; Arthropoda; Insecta; Hymenoptera; Braconidae. The transcript is spliced from 3 exons. The record is from RefSeq and is a predicted model, not a curated record.